GGGAGCUGCUGCCAGUGCCGAGUGCCGCCGUCGGGCUUGUCCUCACCAAGCCUCCGGCGAAAGCUGUGAAGGGUCGUGUUUGGCUCUUUUGCUCUUGGGGAUCUGGGGCCUUUGGGCUUUAUUGCCUUGGCUGUGCUGUGCUGUAGCUGCGUCACCUUCCAUCUCUCAGGAGUACCACUGUGUCUUCUAGAGGUUUCUGGGCUCAGGGAAGGGAAAGAACCAAGGAAGGCCCAGCCCAGACGAAGCCUUUUCUCAGGCUGCUCGGUCUGCACUGCGGCCCUGGCCUCACGGGAGGCACCUUAGUUGCUUCUGGAGCUUGAGCCUGGCCCUUGCCCUGUCCCAGCCCAGAACUGCGAGCCUGAGCCUGCUUGUCUCAUUCCCCUGCUGAGGGAGGGAGACAGUGCUCCGAAAGGGGUUCUUGGUUCUGACCCAAACAGUUCUGCUGCUCUGGAAAUGAAUCGUGGAUCAGGAGAGGCGUUGUAGGCGCUUGAAAAGCUGCCUUUCCGCUUGUGGUUUAUGAGCAAAGCCAGCCUUCUCUCUGGCCAGCCUCUCCCCUCCCUCACAGACACCUCAGGGCUUGAGGACUUUGGUUGGGGUGGGGGUCAGUGGCGAGACACACUCCUUUCCUUGACCUCCUGUCACCCCGUGAGCCUUGAGUCCUUCACCUCACCAGCUCCCUUGGCUGGGGCCCUGACCCCGAGCCCAUGCUGAUGGCCGCACCCAGGUUCAGCCAGGUUCCCGGGGUAGCGUUUCUCCCCGACCUCGGCAGCCUUGUCUGGUCAGGCAGGGUGCACACUGCACCCUUACUUUGCAGAGGGGACACCGAAUGCCGCUUGUCCCCUCGCCCACUUAGUGUGGUGGCUUCUCAAAUGGCUCCUGACCAGGGCCUAACUCUGUGCAUCUCCCAGGAACCCAGGGUGGCUCUGGCUGUCUCAUGGGCUGCCUCCAACUGCCAUAGGGCCUCCCCUCCAGGGCCUUGAGGCGGCACAGGGAAUGCUUGGCGGGGCUGGGGCGUGCCCUCUGCCCCUCUUGUCUUCUGGUGAGUCAGGAGCCACAUGCCUUGGGCAGGCUUCCUUUACUUCAGCCCGAGCAGCAUUUAUCCUGUUUCCCCAAAGUUUCUGUGAACUCAGGCCAGGUCUCCGGAGGUGGCCCUAAUUAGGGGAGGGACCUCCAGGGAUAGUGAGGCAGGAGGGAAGGUACUGGUGCCUGGCUCAGCCUGUUAGCCCCCGGCCCAGGCCCCCUGAUGUGCCUGCCCAGCCGUAUUCCUAGACAGCGGCCUCUGAGACUUGCUUUUUCUCACCCAUUCCGUGCAGAACUCACUGGACAGGAGGCAGGAGGCAGGAGGCAGCCAGUCUAGACCUGAAGCCCUCAGCUGUUCCAGGAGGGGCUUUCCUCACAAAGAGGAAGGGGGCCCUGCUCAGUCGCGGGCUGGGGGGUUCAGGAAGCAAGGCCAAGUGUAGUUGUGGGUAGAAAACCUUUCCCUACUUCACAGGAGCGCACGUGACAUUGGGCGCCUGGCUGUAGCUUGCUCGCACUCUGGCCUGGUGAUGGCCAAGGUAGUUUUUAGAAAUCUACUUAAAAUACCUAUCUGUUAUCUAUUUACGGUGUUUUUUCUGACUACGCAAAUGUAAAUAAUAUAAUCUGCAGUGCAAAGUCCUUGGCAAUAACUGUUGUAUAUUAUGUUAAAAACACUGGAGAAUGCGACCACCGUGGAUUGUCCUUCCCUCUCUGGGGCAACGAUUCCCUGUAGGACUCUGAACUUGCAACCUUCGGCGUGGCUGAAGCAGCAGCCUGCAUGUGUGGACUGUCACCAGUGCCUCGCCCAGAGAUGCCUGGCCUUCAUCCAGUGGGACUCUCUGCCACCCCGACUCCCACAGGCAGCGCCCACACUGUGGCUCUUUCACACCAUGUUGGACUCUGCAAUAGACUGGCCCUCUUGUCUGGCUGCUGCAAUUUGUCUGUAAUGCCCUGACAUGUUGCAUUUUCCCCAUUUGGAUGACUACAAAUAAAAGCUUCUGUCUUAAACAGC
This 2029-nucleotide long non-coding RNA is filed under the name Sus scrofa (pig). RNAcentral describes it as "lncRNA (ENSSSCG00040004057.1)". The record is from RNAcentral. Lineage: Eukaryota; Metazoa; Chordata; Mammalia; Artiodactyla; Suidae.